RNAcentral lists this ribosomal RNA (441 nucleotides) under uncultured bacterium. RNAcentral's name for it is "partial 16S ribosomal RNA". It matches the Rfam family "Bacterial small subunit ribosomal RNA", at positions 338 to 795 of the family's 1533-position model. The record is from RNAcentral.
CCUACGGGUGGCAGCAGUCGGGAAUAUUGCGCAAUGGAGGAAACUCUGACGCAGUGACGCCGCGUGCAGGAAGAAGGUUUUCGGAUUGUAAACUUCCUUUUACAGGGAAGAAAAAAGACAGUACCUGUCGUAUAUGCUCCGGCUAACUACGUGCCAGCAGCCGCGGUAAUACGUAGGGAGCAAGCGUUAUCCGGAUUUAUUGGGUGUAAAGGGUGCGUAGACGGGGAAGCAAGUUAGUUGUGAAAUCCCUGGGCUUAACCGAGGAACUGCAACUAAAACUAUUUCCCUUGAGUACUGGAGAGGAAAGUGGAAUUCCGAGUGUAGCGGUGAAAUGCGUAGAUAUUAGGAGGAACACCAGUGGCGAAGGCGACUUUCUGGACAGUAACUGACGUUGAGGCACGAAAGUGUGGGGAGCAAACAGGAUUAGAUACCCCUGUAGUC